GUGGGGAAUUUUGGACAAUGGGCGAAAGCCUGAUCCAGCAAUGCCGCGUGCAGGAUGAAGGCCCUCGGGUUGUAAACUGCUUUUGUACGGAACGAAAAGCCUGGGGCUAAUAUCCCCGGGUCAUGACGGUACCGUAAGAAUAAGCACCGGCUAACUACGUGCCAGCAGCCGCGGUAAUACGUAGGGUGCAAGCGUUAAUCGGAAUUACUGGGCGUAAAGCGUGCGCAGGCGGUUUUGUAAGACAGUGGUGAAAGCCCCGGGCUCAACCUGGGAACUGCCUUUGUGACUGCAAGGCUAGAGUACGGCAGAGGGGGAUGGAAUUCCGCGUGUAGCAGUGAAAUGCGUAGAUAUGCGGAGGAACACCGAUGGCGAAGGCAAUCCCCUGGGCCUGUACUGACGCUCAUGCACGAAAGCGUGGGGAGCAAACAGGAUUAGAUACCCGAGUAGUCC
RNAcentral lists this ribosomal RNA (450 nucleotides) under uncultured bacterium. RNAcentral's name for it is "partial 16S ribosomal RNA". It matches the Rfam family "Bacterial small subunit ribosomal RNA", at positions 354 to 796 of the family's 1533-position model. The record is from RNAcentral.